This 513-nucleotide ribosomal RNA is filed under the name uncultured bacterium. Its description in RNAcentral is "partial 16S ribosomal RNA". It matches the Rfam family "Bacterial small subunit ribosomal RNA", at positions 28 to 523 of the family's 1533-position model. The record is from RNAcentral.
GAUGAACGCUGGCGGCGUGCCUAAUACAUGCAAGUCGAGCGAACAGACGAGGAGCUUGCUCCUCUGACGUUAGCGGCGGACGGGUGAGUAACACGUGGAUAACCUACCUAUAAGACUGGGAUAACUUCGGGAAACCGGAGCUAAUAUCGGAUAAUAUAUUGAACCGCAUGGUUCAAUAGUGAAAGACGGUUUUGCUGUCACUUAUAGAUGGAUCCGCGCCGCAUUAGCUAGUUGGUAAGGUAACGGCUUACCAAGGCAACGAUGCGUAGCCGACCUGAGAGGGUGAUCGGCCACACUGGAACUGAGACACGGUCCAGACUCCUACGGGAGGCAGCAGUAGGGAAUCUUCCGCAAUGGGCGAAAGCCUGACGGAGCGACGCCGCGUGAGUGAUGAAGGUCUUCGGAUCGUAAAACUCUGUUAUUAGGGAAGAACAAAUGUGUAAGUAACUAUGCACGACUUGACGGUACCUAAUCAGAUAGCCACGGCUAACUACGUGCCAGCAGCCGCCGUAA